GUCCACGCCGUAAACGAUGAGUGCUAGCCGUUGGACAGCUUGCUGUUCAGUGGCGCAGCUAACGCGUUAAGCACUCCGCCUGGGGAGUACGGUCGCAAGAUUAAAACUCAAAGGAAUUGACGGGGCCGCACAAGCGGUGGAGCAUGUGGUUUAAUUCGAUGCAACGCGAAGAACCUUACCAGCCCUUGACAUGUCCGGACGACUGGCAGAGAUGCCUUUCUCCUAGCAAUAGGUCGGAACACAGGUGCUGCAUGGCUGUCGU
This 262-nucleotide ribosomal RNA is filed under the name uncultured bacterium. RNAcentral describes it as "partial 16S ribosomal RNA". It matches the Rfam family "Bacterial small subunit ribosomal RNA", at positions 793 to 1055 of the family's 1533-position model. The record is from RNAcentral.